This 620-nucleotide ribosomal RNA is filed under the name uncultured Actinomycetes bacterium. Its description in RNAcentral is "bacterial SSU rRNA". It matches the Rfam family "Bacterial small subunit ribosomal RNA", at positions 556 to 1177 of the family's 1533-position model. Lineage: Bacteria; Bacillati; Actinomycetota; Actinomycetes. The record is from RNAcentral.
GGGCGUAAGCGCGCGUAGGCGGCUUGGUAAGUCGGAUGUGAAAGCCCAGGGCUUAACCCAGAGACGCCACUCGAUACUGCCAUGACUUGAGUUCGGUAGGGGAGCGGGGAAUUCCUGGUGUAGCGGUGAAAUGCGCAGAUAUCAGGAGGAACACCGGUGGCGAAGGCGCCGCUCUGGGCCGAAACUGACGCUGAGGAGCGAAAGCGUGGGUAGCAAACAGGAUUAGAUACCCUGGUAGUCCACGCCGUAAACGUUGGGCACUAGGUGUGGGCUCUAACCAACGGAGUCCGUGCCGUCGCUAACGCAUUAAGUGCCCCGCCUGGGGAGUACGGCCGCAAGGUUAAAACUCAAAGGAAUUGACGGGGCCCCGCACAAGCAGCGGAGCAUGCGGCUUAAUUCGACGCAACGCGAAGAACCUUACCAAGGCUUGACAUAUACCGGAAUAUGGCAGAGAUGUCAUAGCUGUAAAAGGUCGGUAUACAGGUGUGCAUGGUUGUCGUCAGCUCGUGUCGUGAGAUGUUGGGUUAAGUCCCGCAACGAGCGCAACCCUCGUUCUGUGUUGCCAGCAUUUAGUUGGGGACUCACAGGAGACUGCCGGGGUCAACUCGGAGGAAGGUAAU